CUUAGCGGCGGACGGGUGAGUAAUACUUAGGAAUCUGGCUAUUAGUGGGGGACAACAUUUCGAAAGGGAUGCUAAUACCGCAUACGUCCUACGGGAGAAAGCAGGGGAUCUUCGGACCUUGCGCUAAUAGAUGAGCCUAAGUCGGAUUAGCUAGUUGGUGGGGUAAAGGCCUACCAAGGCGACGAUCUGUAGCGGGUCUGAGAGGAUGAUCCGCCACACUGGGACUGAGACACGGCCCAGACUCCUACGGGAGGCAGCAGUGGGGAAUAUUGGACAAUGGGGGGAACCCUGAUCCAGCCAUGCCGCGUGUGUGAAGAAGGCCUUCGGGUUGUAAAGCACUUUAAGCGAGGAGGAGGGUGUUGAGGUUAAUACUACCAGGUACUGGACGUUACUCGCAGAAGAAGCACCGGCUAACUCUGUGCCAGCAGCCGCGGUAAUACAGAGGGUGCGAGCGUUAAUCGGAUUUACUGGGCGUAAAGCGUGCGUAGGCGGCUAAUUGAGUCGGAUGUGAAAUCCCCGGGCUUAACUUGGGAAUUGCAUUCGAUACUGGUUAGCUAGAGUCUUGUAGAGGGGGGUAGAAUUCCAGGUGUAGCGGUGAAAUGCGUAGAGAUCUGGAGGAAUACCGGUGGCGAAGGCGGCCAUCUGGCCUAACACUGACGCUCAGGUGCGAAAGCGUGGGGAGCAAACAGGAUUAG
Molecule: ribosomal RNA, 695 nt
Filed under: Acinetobacter sp. DH59-2
Lineage: Bacteria; Pseudomonadati; Pseudomonadota; Gammaproteobacteria; Moraxellales; Moraxellaceae
Description: bacterial SSU rRNA
Rfam family: Bacterial small subunit ribosomal RNA
Source: RNAcentral